RNAcentral lists this long non-coding RNA (256 nucleotides) under Lathyrus oleraceus (garden pea). RNAcentral describes it as "Pisum sativum (pea) long non-coding RNA (PSAT_LNC030720)". Lineage: Eukaryota; Viridiplantae; Streptophyta; Magnoliopsida; Fabales; Fabaceae. The record is from RNAcentral.
AAUAAUACGAGGAACAAAAUGGGACGAUGAGUUUUACCAAACACUCAAAGAUAAAGAUGCACGAAGGCCAAAACCAGACCUGAAACCCUAGGUUUCAUGCAAGCAUAAUUCACAUGAACAACAAGAUAAAUGGUAUGUAAGCUAGUGAUCAAUCUUAACACAAUGAAGGCUACAUGUUUGCUUCAGAAAUCACAUGAAAAUGAUGCAUGUAUGAUGAGUUUCAAAGUCAAGAGUAUACCUAUUGGAGCAAGGUCUA